Molecule: long non-coding RNA, 781 nt
Filed under: Equus caballus (horse)
Lineage: Eukaryota; Metazoa; Chordata; Mammalia; Perissodactyla; Equidae
Description: lncRNA (ENSECAG00000056530.1)
Source: RNAcentral
UUUGGACAGCUCAAAUCAUUAGGAAAUUCUUCCUAACAUGGAACCAGAAUCCACCUUCAUUUUUUUCCCCAUUGGCCGCCCUUCUCUGCACAGGGCAACACAGAGCCUUACUCUACUGAAAUAUUGUUGAGGAAAGAACAGUGAACUCAAUUUCUCUAGGCAUCUGGUUUGAAUUAGCUAUUUCACAAAUCCUUUUCUCCUAACUGGCACCAAAUUUCGUUAUAAUUGAAAAAAAAACCCACACAUUUUCACCUUAUAAACAAAAAUUUCCAAACAUCUUAAUGUAGAAAACGUUCCUAUGGUUUCUUGUUCUGGGGAGCAUGUUGGAAUUUUAGGAAAAUAUUGUGACUUACUCGAAUGUGCUGGAGGGAACGGUGUGAACCAACGUUCUCUGCUACCUAGAGACUGGAUGCCACUGCAGAUUUGCCCCUUUCUAAAGCCCCACCAGCGCAGUCCAUCCCCAAAGAACCGCAAACCAGAAUCCUGGAUAUAAUUUGAUCUUCAUUAUGGAGAGGGCAGCGGAAUCAGAUAAUAGAAGUCCUGAAGAGUUUAAGUAACAGAGGAUCAACCUCGCGUUCCCCAUCCGGCCCUGCUCCCCAGCUGAGGUCACCUUACACUUCCUAGCUUGAGGCCUUUGCAGAAUCCAUACAAGCUGUGAAAUGAUUCCUUUCCAUGAAGCCCCGGAACAAAGCCGCUCGCUCUCCGCUUUCUGAAUCAUCAAAACUCAUUCAAGUUACAUAAACAAGCACAUGGACAAAGAAAACAGUUCAGUAGUUACCAG